Suricata suricatta (meerkat) is the source of this 1145-nucleotide long non-coding RNA. RefSeq lists it as uncharacterized. NCBI's taxonomy places the organism in Eukaryota, Metazoa, Chordata, Mammalia, Carnivora, Herpestidae. The record is from RefSeq and is a predicted model, not a curated record. The transcript has 6 exons.
UGGCUCCGGCUGGGGGUGGGCCAGGCCUGGGCGUCUCUCUCUAGCUCUCCCGGUGCCCCAGGCCCAGGUCUCAGGCCGAGAGAACGCGCCGCCACAGGCCCAGCAAGCCGCUGCCGCCACCUAGGUACCGGGCCUCAGGUGGGCAGGCUGAAGGGAGAAUGAGGCCGCUUUAGGGUCAGUUUCCGAGCCGAGCGGCUUGGGACUUCUGGCGGAAGUAGCUGCUCGGAGCCGGAGCCUAGGGCAACUCCGGGCGGAAGCGGCGGAGCUCGAAACUCGGAAGGCAGGGAAGUCAGAGCCGGAAGUCAGUCCCCUCCGAAGAGAAUGCUUCCGGAAACACAGAAAGACCCGAAGAUGCUCUGGAAAAUUGCAAGAGAACAUCUGUCCUGGCUCAGAAACAUUUCUUUCUAGUGGAGCUUCCUCUUCUCGAGAAGAAAUCUGAUAGUUUUCAAGGUACCUCAUCCUAUAGCUGGAUACUCAGAAAGGAUCGUCUUAUUCAAGAGGAUUUUGCCCUCAUUUUCUGCAGGAAGGAAAAGAAGGUUAGAGAGGACAUGUGACAUGCUGCAAAUCCCCCAUGCUCCCACACGGCCUGUAUUCUUGGGUUUAUUUGAUUAUUCACGGCACCAGGAGUUGAUAAUUUCCACAACUGGGUGUUCUCCUCCUGAAGUAUCAGCCUCGAGCCAUUUUUGGUCCUGUCUCACCAAGAUACUUGCAUCUGAGCCUCAGCCUUCGUAUGUGGCCAUGUGAGUAUGUAGCCAGUGGAACGUGAUCACAAGUGACUGUAUUCAAGGCUUUCUUCUGCUGUGGUGGUCAAGACAGCGCUGGGACCCAGCAAGUGCAGCCACAACAUGGCAGUGCCUCCAUCAUCUCAGUGACCACAUGGACUAGAGGCGUGAUUGAUGCACUUUGAAAGUCCCUGGAGGAUAGGAAGCCUGCCUGGCAUCGAGCAUAAUGCUUUUCCCCGUGAAGACCUGCUGUAAAUGCUGCAACAGAGAAGGGGCUCUGGGCUGUAUGGAGCGGAAAAUGCUGCUGCUGAUCGGUGAGCCUGUCACUCAGUGGUGGCUGUGUCUCAGGUUGCAUGUCUAAAAGAGCUCACAGGUGGGCCCAAGCCCCCACUCUGUGCUUGACUCAGCCUCCCAGUACCUAAA